This 497-nucleotide ribosomal RNA is filed under the name uncultured bacterium. RNAcentral describes it as "partial 16S ribosomal RNA". It matches the Rfam family "Bacterial small subunit ribosomal RNA", at positions 28 to 507 of the family's 1533-position model. The record is from RNAcentral.
GAUGAACGCUGGCGGCGUGCCUAACACAUGCAAGUCGAGCGAACGGACGAGAAGCUUGCUUUUCUGAUGUUAGCGGCGGAGGGGAGAGUAACACGUGGAUAACCUACCUAUAAGACGGGGAAAACUUCGGGAAACCGGAGCUAAUACCGGAGAAGAUUUUGAACCGCAUGGUUCAAAAGUGAAAGACGGUCGUGCUGUCACUUAUAGAUGGAUCCGCGCUGCAUUAGCUAGUUGGUAAGGUAACGGCUUACCAAGGCAACGAUGCAUAAGCGACCUGAGAGGGUGAUCGGCCACACUGGAACUUGGACACGGUCCAGACUCCUACGGGAGGCAGCAGUAGGGAAUCUUCCGCAAUGGUCGAAAGCCUUACGGAGCAACGCCGCGUGAGUGAUGAAGGUCUUCGGAUCGUAAAACUCUGUUAUUAGGGAAGAACAUAUGUGUAAGUAACUGUGCACAUCUUGACGGUACCUAAUCAGAAAGCCACGGCUAACUACGUG